AGCGAACGCUGGCGGCAGGCUUAACACAUGCAAGUCGAGCGGGCAUCUUCGGAUGUCAGUGGCAGACGGGUGAGUAACCCGUGGGAACGUACCCUUCGGUUCGGAAUAACUCAGGGAAACUUGAGCUAAUACCGGAUACGCCCUUUUGGGGAAAGGUUUACUGCCGAAGGAUCGGCCCGCGUCUGAUUAGCUUGUUGGUGGGGUAACGGCCUACCAAGGCGACGAUCAGUAGCUGGUCUGAGAGGAUGAUCAGCCACACUGGGACUGAGACACGGCCCAGACUCCUACGGGAGGCAGCAGUGGGGAAUAUUGGACAAUGGGCGCAAGCCUGAUCCAGCCAUGCCGCGUGAGUGAUGAAGGCCUUAGGGUUGUAAAGCUCUUUUGUCCGGGACGAUAAUGACGGUACCGGAAGAAUAAGCCCCGGCUAACUUCGUG
RNAcentral lists this ribosomal RNA (435 nucleotides) under uncultured bacterium. Its description in RNAcentral is "partial 16S ribosomal RNA". It matches the Rfam family "Bacterial small subunit ribosomal RNA", at positions 29 to 507 of the family's 1533-position model. The record is from RNAcentral.